CUCUAUAUUUAGUGUUGUGGUGUCUCUAUAUUUAGUGUUGUGGUGUCUCUCUAUAUUUAGUGUUGUGGUGUCUCUCUAUAUUUAGUGUUGUGGUGUCUCUCUUUAAGUAAUGUUGUGGUGUCUCUCUAUAUGUAAUGUUGUGGUGUCUCUCUAUAUGUAAUGUUGUGGUGUCUCUAUAUGCAAUGUUGUGGUGUCUCUAUAUUUAGUGUUGUGGUGUCUCUAUAUUUAGUGUUGUGGUGUCUCUAUAUUUAGUGUUGUGGUGUCUCUAUAUUUAGUGUUUGUUGUGGUGUCUCUCUAUAUGUAGUGUUGUGGUGUCUCUCUAUAUGUAGUGUUGUGGUGUCUCUCUAUAUUUAGUGUUGUGGUGUCUCUCUAUAUUUAGUGUUGUGGUGUCUCUCUAUAUUUAGUGUUGUGGUUUCUCUCUAUAUUUAGUGUUGUGGUGUCUCUCUAUAUUUAGUGUUGUGGUGUCUCUCUAUAUUUAGUGUUGUGGUGUCUCUCUAUAUUUAGUGUUGUGGUGUCUCUCUAUAUUUAGUGUUGUGGUGUCUCUCUAUAUUUAGUGUUGUGGUGUCUCUCUAUAUUUAGUGUUGUGGUGUCUCUCUAUAUUUAGUGUUGUGGUGUCUCUAUAUUUAGUGUUUGUUGUGGUGUCUCUAUAUUUAGUGUUGUGGUGUCUCUAUAUUUAGUGUUGUGGUGUCUCUCUAUAUUUAGUGUUGUGGUGUCUCUCUGUAUGUAGUGUUGUGGUGUCUCUCUAUAUGUAGUGUUGUGGUGUCUCUAUAUAUUUAGUGUUGUGGUGUCUCUAUAUAUUUAGUGUUGUGGUGUCUCUAUAUAUUUAGUGUUGUGGUGUCUCUAUAUAUA
Molecule: long non-coding RNA, 849 nt
Filed under: Salmo salar (Atlantic salmon)
Lineage: Eukaryota; Metazoa; Chordata; Actinopteri; Salmoniformes; Salmonidae
Description: lncRNA (ENSSSAG00000105795.1)
Source: RNAcentral